Molecule: non-coding RNA, 28 nt
Filed under: Rattus norvegicus (Norway rat)
Lineage: Eukaryota; Metazoa; Chordata; Mammalia; Rodentia; Muridae
Source: RNAcentral
UGGUGACAUGGAAGUGGUAUCUAUCCCC